This 895-nucleotide ribosomal RNA is filed under the name uncultured bacterium. RNAcentral describes it as "bacterial SSU rRNA". It matches the Rfam family "Bacterial small subunit ribosomal RNA", at positions 8 to 916 of the family's 1533-position model. The record is from RNAcentral.
AGAGUUUGAUCAUGGCUCAGGACGAACGCUGGCGGCGUGCUUAACACAUGCAAGUCGAGCGGUAAGGCCCCUUCGGGGGUACACGAGCGGCGAACGGGUGAGUAACACGUGAGCAAUCUGCCCUUCACACAGGGAUAACCUCGGGAAACCGAUGCUAAUACCUGAUACGACCACUUCAGGCAUCUGAUGGUGGUGGAAAGUUCUGGCGGUGAAGGAUGAGCUCGCGGCCUAUCAGCUUGUUGGUGGGGUAAUGGCCUACCAAGGCAACGACGGGUAGCCGGCCUGAGAGGGUGACCGGCCACACUGGGACUGAGACACGGCCCAGACUCCUACGGGAGGCAGCAGUGGGGAAUAUUGGACAAUGGGCGAAAGCCUGAUCCAGCAACGCCGCGUGAGGGAUGACGGCCUUCGGGUUGUAAACCUCUUUCAGCAGGGACGAAGCGCAAGUGACGGUACCUGCAGAAGAAGCACCGGCCAACUACGUGCCAGCAGCCGCGGUAAUACGUAGGGUGCGAGCGUUGUCCGGAAUUAUUGGGCGUAAAGGGCUCGUAGGCGGUUUGUCGCGUCGGGAGUGAAAACUCAGGGCUUAACCCUGAGCCUGCUUCCGAUACGGGCAGACUAGAGGUAUGCAGGGGAGAACGGAAUUCCUGGUGUAGCGGUGAAAUGCGCAGAUAUCAGGAGGAACACCGGUGGCGAAGGCGGUUCUCUGGGCAUUACCUGACGCUGAGGAGCGAAAGUGUGGGGAGCGAACAGGAUUAGAUACCCUGGUAGUCCACACCGUAAACGUUGGGCGCUAGGUGUGGGACUCAUUCCACGAGUUCCGUGCCGCAGCUAACGCAUUAAGCGCCCCGCCUGGGGAGUACGGCCGCAAGGCUAAAACUCAAUGAAUUGACGG